Molecule: unclassified non-coding RNA, 353 nt
Filed under: soil metagenome
Description: partial contains 5.8S ribosomal RNA, internal transcribed spacer 2, and large subunit ribosomal RNA
Rfam family: 5.8S ribosomal RNA (bases 6-121)
Source: RNAcentral
GAUGAAAGAACGUAGCGAAAUGCGAUAAGUAAUGUGAAUUGCAGAAUUCAGUGAAUCAUCGAAUCUUUGAACGCACAUUGCGCCCGCCAGUAUUCUGGCGGGCAUGCCUGUUCGAGCGUCAUUACAACCCUCAGGCCCCCGGGCCUGGCGUUGGGGAUCGGCGGAGCCCCCCGUGGGCACACGCCGUCCCCCAAAUGCAGUGGCGGUCCCGCCGCAGCUUCCAUCGCGUAGUAGCUAACACCUCGCGACUGGAGAGCGGCGCGGCCACGCCGUAAAACACCCAACUCUUCUGAAGUUGACCUCGAAUCAGGUAGGAAUACCCGCUGAACUUAAGCAUAUCAAUAAGCGGAGGA